UUUGAGUGGAAGAAAUCAACUCCUACAGCAGCCUGGAAACAGCAAGAUGUGGCAAAGGACUUUCUGUCCUGUGCCCAGCUAUUAGAAAAAAGGAUUGACAGAGACUCAAAAGAAGGGUCAGAUGGAAACCAAACAGUAAUUCUGGGGUCACCAAUACCUGCCAAAGAGAAGCAUCUAAGCUGGUGUUUCACUUCUUCACCAUCAAAGUCAGUGGCAUUUACACAUGUGCAAGCACUGGCUUGCACCCCUUGCUGAAAUGUGGCCAAGAUUUUGGUUGUAUGUGAACUCUGGAUCUCAAAAGUCAGGCUCAGCUGAAACAGAUGUAACAUCAAAACCAUUUGAAAGUGCAACCCAUCAACUGGCAAUUACCUUGGAAGGUUCAAGAAGAUUUCAAACCAUGGAUUUCAGGAAACAUUGUCUUUGUGAUGUGCAGGAAUAUAGGAAUGCAACUUGCAGCUGUUGAAGAAAGAACUGCAUGUAUAACUUUUCCUUCACUUUGAAUAUCUAUCCUCUAGCAAGUCUACAUAACAGAAAGAUUGAUCAAUGAUGUGUGAAUUAAGAUGGAUUAAAAUGUCUGUGCGUCUUCAGAACUGCCAUGUAUGGAUUACUGGGUAAUUAACUUGCAAUUUCAAAAUUGGUACCUGCACCUCAAUAUGCCUGAAAACCUGGCAUACUGAGAAUAUGAUAUAUUUACCAUAAAAAUGUACAUACUGUGUAACAUACACAACACAUGCAUGCAUAUAGGGAAAAAAAAGUGAACUGUAAAAAAAGUAAAAUUAAAUUACAUGAAUCCAUGUAGCUACCAUGCUACUGCAGGGACUAUAAUAAAAAAAAGAACGAAUUACCA
RNAcentral lists this long non-coding RNA (847 nucleotides) under Crocodylus porosus (Australian saltwater crocodile). RNAcentral describes it as "lncRNA (ENSCPRG00005010468.1)". The record is from RNAcentral. Lineage: Eukaryota; Metazoa; Chordata; Crocodylia; Crocodylidae.